GAUGAACGCUGGCGGCGUGCCUAAUACAUGCAAGUCGAGCGAACAGACGAGGAGCUUGCUCCUUUGACGUUAGCGGCGGACGGGUGAGUAACACGUGUAUACCCUCCCUAUCAUACGGGUAUAACUUCGGGAAACCGGAGCAAAUACCGUAUAAUCUCUUGAUCCGCAGUGUGCAUUAGUGAGUUACGGUUUUGCUGUCACGUCUCGCUGGAUCCCCGCGGUAUUGGGUGGUUGGUAAGUUAACGGCUUAUGAAGGGGAGGAGGCGUAACCGACCUGAGAGGGUGAUCGGCGACACGGGAGCUGAGACGCGGUCCAGGCUACUACGGUAGGCAGCAGAAGCGAACCUGACGCAGUGGUCGAAAGCCUGACGGAGCAACGCCACGUGAGUGAUGACGGCCUUCGGAGCGUAAAACUGUGUUAUUAGGGAAGAACAAAUGUGUAAGUAGCUAUGGAGGUCUUGACGGUAACUAAUCAGAAAGCCACGGCUAACUACGUG
This 497-nucleotide ribosomal RNA is filed under the name uncultured bacterium. RNAcentral's name for it is "partial 16S ribosomal RNA". It matches the Rfam family "Bacterial small subunit ribosomal RNA", at positions 28 to 507 of the family's 1533-position model. The record is from RNAcentral.